GAUGAACGCUGGCGGCGUGCCUAAUACAUGCCAGUCGAGCGAACGGACGAGAAGCUUGCUUCUCUGGUGUUAGCGGCGGACGGGUGAGUAACACGUGGAUAACCUACCUAUAAGACUGGGAUAACUUCGGGAAACCGGAGCUAAUACCGGAUAAUCUUUUGAACCGCAUGGUUCAAAAGUGAAAGACGGUCUUGCUGUCACUUAUAGAUGGAUCCGCGCUGCAUUAGCUAGUUGGUAAGGUAACGGCUUACCAAGGCAACGAUGCAUUACCGACCUGUGAGGGUGAUCGGCCACACUGGAGCGGGGACGCGGUCCAGACUACUACGGGAGGCAGCAGUAGGGAAUCUUCCGCAAUGGGCGAAAGCCUGACGGAGCAACGCCGCGUGAGUGAUGAAGGUCUUCGGAUCGUAAAACUCUGUUAUUAGGGAAGAACAUAUGUGUAAGUAACUGUGCACAGCUUGACGGUACCUAAUCAGAAAGCCACGGCUAACUACGUG
RNAcentral lists this ribosomal RNA (497 nucleotides) under uncultured bacterium. RNAcentral's name for it is "partial 16S ribosomal RNA". It matches the Rfam family "Bacterial small subunit ribosomal RNA", at positions 28 to 507 of the family's 1533-position model. The record is from RNAcentral.